Molecule: ribosomal RNA, 372 nt
Filed under: uncultured bacterium
Lineage: Bacteria
Description: bacterial SSU rRNA
Rfam family: Bacterial small subunit ribosomal RNA
Source: RNAcentral
UACGGAGGGUGCAAGCGUUAUCCGGAUUUAUUGGGUUUAAAGGGUCCGUAGGCGGACUUAUAAGUCAGUGGUGAAAUCUCAUAGCUUAACUAUGAAACUGCCAUUGAUACUGUAAGUCUUGAGUGUAGUUGAGGUAGCUGGAAUAAGUAGUGUAGCGGUGAAAUGCAUAGAUAUUACUUAGAACACCAAUUGCGAAGGCAGGUUACCAAGUUACAACUGACGCUGAUGGACGAAAGCGUGGGGAGCGAACAGGAUUAGAUACCCUGGUAGUCCACGCUGUAAACGAUGCUAACUCGUUUUUGGGGCGCAAGCUUCAGAGACCAAGCGAAAGUGAUAAGUUAGCCACCUGGGGAGUACGAACGCAAGUUUGAA